AAAAUUUUAAGUUCGAAUUUCAGAUAAAGAAAUGAGUUAUCCCAUUGUUUUAGUCCAGUAGCAUGAAAAUGACCAUACACUCAGAGGUGAGCAUACUUGUAGGAUUCUUCCAAACUUUCCUCUGCUUGCCUCUAUAUAUCAGCCUCAGUACUCUUCCUAAUAUACUACCUUCCUACACUCGUCCCUCUCCUCCCUAGCACAACUUCAGAGAGCUACACACAGAGUCAUGGCUCUCUCGCGUGCCAUGCUCAUGGCAACCUUCUUACUGGGUCUCAUAGCAUCCUCCUCCAUUGCUCAAGGCCCAAUAUCAUCGCCGCCAACAAUCCCACCGGCAACUACUGCAACGCCACCUACAAGUUCUGCAACCCCGCCUUCCUCAGCAGUCACACCUUCCUCUGCUCCCACCCCAGUGUCACCUUCACCAACAUCGUCCCCUCCUUCUUCAGCUACCCCAACAGCAAGCCCACCAGCAACCGCCCCGACAACGAGUCCAGGAUCAAGCCCACCAUCGCCAACUGCACCUGGGUCACCACCAUCAGAAUUGACUGCCACUCCUCCUGCACCCAUCGCACCAACACCAUCUUCUGGCCCCGGGUCGCAAACACCAACUCCUUCAGCUGCCCAAACUCCAGGUCCCGCCUCAUCGACACCGGGUUCAGGAGCUUUUGUUCAUGGAAGCAGGGUGGCAGCCUUGUUAUCACUGCUUGGAGGAGUUGCACUUGUGGUGCUAUUUGCUUAAAACCCAGAUGGUCAUACGAUGUAGAUUAAGAUAUUUAUUUGUGUAUUCUUUUUCUUUUAAUUUUGGGUUUGGUUUGGUUAUUCUUGGAGCUGAAUUUGUGAUUAGAGAUUUAAUUGGAUGUUACAGCUCUUUUCUAGAAUUUUGAUGUUAGCUGAAUAAGGGAUGCUGUGAUUCUUGCUAUUGUUCAAUGUGCUAAAAUUUUUCUUUUUCAUGCUUUUUUUAAUUACUUUGUGAUAUUGCUUGAGAGAGCUUCUUGUUUUUAAUAAGCAUGAGAACAAAAAUUUCUCUACUUCAUGUCAAGAAAACAAGAACCCCAUAUACAUCUUUAUGUUUGUAAAUAAUUUGAUUAGUGCUAAACAAGAAAGGACUAGACCCUUAAUCAAAACACUUUUUUAUUUGGAAAAAAAGGUUAGGUGGCUAGCUGCUUGAAGAGGGUAGAUGUGGAUGGAGGGUAGUGAAGAAAAGAUGGUGGAGGGAGGGAAAAGUUUAGGUGCUAGCUGUCGAGCUAGAAUUAUGUGAAGGAAAGAUGAGGUGAAAGAGCAU
RNAcentral lists this unclassified non-coding RNA (1282 nucleotides) under Hevea brasiliensis (rubber tree). Lineage: Eukaryota; Viridiplantae; Streptophyta; Magnoliopsida; Malpighiales; Euphorbiaceae. The record is from RNAcentral.